CCUGCAUACAGACCGCUCAUUAAAGUCACCAAACCAGUUCACAAACAAAUACAAGUGUGGCCGGGAGGGUCGUCAGAGGCUCUUCAAGACUGCUUAAAUAUAUUCCAGU
Sinocyclocheilus grahami is the source of this 109-nucleotide long non-coding RNA. RefSeq lists it as uncharacterized. Lineage: Eukaryota; Metazoa; Chordata; Actinopteri; Cypriniformes; Cyprinidae. The transcript is spliced from 3 exons. The record is from RefSeq and is a predicted model, not a curated record.